UCCGGUUUGUCACCGGCAGUCUCAUUAGAGUGCCCUUGCGUAGCAACUAAUGAUAAGGGUUGCGCUCGUUGCGGGACUUAACCCAACAUCUCACGACACGAGCUGACGACAGCCAUGCACCACCUGCGCUGGAUCCCGAAGGAUCACCGUGUUUCCACAGAUUACCCAGCAUGUCAAGCCUUGGUAAGGUUCUUCGCGUUGCAUCGAAUUAAGCCACAUGCUCCGCCGCUUGUGCGGGCCCCCGUCAAUUCCUUUGAGUUUCAGCCUUGCGGCCGUACUCCCCAGGCGGGGCACUUAAUGCGUUAGCUACGGCCCUCGGGGGGUCGCUCCCCCAAGCGCCUAGUGCCCAUCGUUUACGGCGUGGACUAC
RNAcentral lists this unclassified non-coding RNA (369 nucleotides) under uncultured bacterium. Its description in RNAcentral is "contains 16S-23S intergenic spacer region". The record is from RNAcentral.